Molecule: long non-coding RNA, 3142 nt
Organism: Manis pentadactyla (Chinese pangolin)
Lineage: Eukaryota; Metazoa; Chordata; Mammalia; Pholidota; Manidae
Exons: 5
Source: RefSeq, a predicted model, not a curated record
CUGGCCCCUUUCCUGGGUCCUCCGCUCCCUCCCCUUCCCAGGCCUUCGAACCAUCCCCAUCCCUAGUCUAACUUCCUUGGGGCCUCCACGGACUGCGGGUCCCUAACCAUUUUGUCUUAUUCCCUUAUACCCCGCCCCAUUUGUUCCGUUCUACCUUCUUCCAGGCCCCAACCACACUAUCAAGACCCUACCUCAAAGCUGCCAAGUCCCUGGUGUGGAAUGGGAGCUCCUGGCUAAUAAUGGAGCGACAGAGGCCUCAGUUUCCCCUGCCCACUUUCUCAGGAAGGCCCCGCCCCCUUGGCCUUCUGAGUAGCGCCCUACAAUGCGAUCCCCCCCUGCCCUCAUCCCCGGGGUCACCAUCCAGGCCCUCUUCUACCUGCUGUGGCCCCGCCCAGCUCGUGAGCUCUAAUCCCUGUCCCCGUGGGCGCGCCCACCCUAUCGCUCCCCAAUGUCCCCAGCAGUAGUCGAUAAAUUUACACACGUGGUCUUGGCCUUGCAGAAGCUGGGGAUCUGCAGUGACACCACUAUCAGAUACCCUGUGUGGCCCAUCACAUCAACGAGGGCUCAGCAUUCAUCACCGUUGGCCUAGUGGCCAUCCUCAUGCCCUGCCCUCAGCAGUGAUCCCACCCCAUCCAGUGUGGCCCCAGAGGUCAGCCCGGAGAGAUGAUCCAUGCCCAGGGCCUGCAACUGAGCUCGCAGGCCCUCAUGAGCAGCACCUACGUGGUCAUGGUCUACAAGCAGCUGGACACCUUCAUGUUUGCCAGCAUGGCCAGAUGCUCCUGACUGGCAUUGCCAAGGUCACAGGCCACCUGCAGCCCCACUUCCUGGCUGUGUGCUUGCCUGACCCAGCCUCCUUCCACUGUGAGAGUGGUUACAUCACUAAACACAACCGCACCGGGCACUGGAGGAGGUCCUCAAGGCCAGGCAAGUGAGUGAGUGGGGAGGGGACCCAGGAGGCAUCUACACCCCACCCCAGCCCCAGCUGAUGUCAGCCCUCCCCUGCCCAUCUCCCAGAAAAUCCUUCUAUUCUGAGCACGCUUUUGGGAUGUACUCUGUGUUGUAUCUGGUGGUGAGUGUUGGCAGGAGGCAGGUCACACACCCAGCAAGGCCAAAGAAUGUGCCAUUGUUCUCUGGGCCCCCAGCAGUGCUCGGUGCCAGCAGUGCUGGGCAGUUUCCAUAGAGCUUAUGUGUGCCCCUGGAGUUGGAAGGCAAGAAUGGGGAGGGCCUGUCUCUUCUUAAGGCUCAUUCAGUGUCCUGUGCUGGAACAGCAAUUUCCAGAACCCUCUGUCUCCCCCUCCCUGCAGCUGGAGAGGGCCCGUGCCAGGCCGGGUCCAUGCCCAAGGCCCGGCCCCAUCGGGGCAAAGGGAAGGGAAAUCCCACCCAGCUGAGGUGUGGGCCUGAGGGCUGGCUGGUGAGGUGGUAGGAGGCACCGGGGAGAGGGGGAGCCUCCGGAAAGGAGUCUGACCUGUGGCCCCAGUGGACAAAGAGCGCAGACUCAGGCGGCGGAAUGGGAUGGCACACAUCGGAGCCAGCCCAGAGUCCCCGUACUGUGACACCGACAGAGGCCCAGGCCACGGAGCACGUGAUGGUCACACAGCUCACACCAGCAACAUUGUCUUCCUGAAAGACAGUCAUUCAACUGCCAGCCUUACUUUCUGUUUUUAAGACCAGGUUAAAGUAACUGCUGCCUCCUAUAGUAAUAAAAAAGCAGGGGCUUUGGAGCUGGGAGGUACGGGCUUUAUUCCCAGCUUUAACUGAAUGUGACAUGGUGAGAUACUCAACCUCCUCCAGCCUCCCUGUCCUCUCCUGUAAAAUGGGCACGCGAACAGCACCUGCCUCUGUAACAUCGUGGUUUCAUGAGUUAAAACAUAAACAAGUUGAUACACUCAAAGGACUUAAUGUCAAACAGGAUCUGGCCUAAAUGUCAAACAUUACUAAUGGACAAAACAGACUUCCUCCGUCCCCUGGGGUGGACUGGGGUGUGCGUUGCAUGUCAGCAAUGCUGUGGAGCUCCCAGAGCAGGUGGCAAUGUGGCCCCCGAUAUGACAGGUCACACGCAACGAGGAGGCGGGCCUUUCCCUGGUUUUGCAGACCGCAGAAUUAAUGAGCAGAAUGUUCUGGAUCUCCAGGAAUUCCCCCACCUCGUGAGUGUUCCCCAAAUGCUGAUGCCUGCUUUCUGCUUCAAUGGACAACAGCCACUUUCCUGUUCUGUUCAUACCAAGGAGGUAAAUUAACCUGGUGUUUAAAAAAGGGAUUUUUUGUUGUUGUUGUUCUGUUUUCCAUCUCAAAGCUAGGAGCCACAGUGCCUACUUUUUGAGGACUCCCUGGUAAGGCUGACUUGGUUUGAUUGGCAUUCUGACACUGGCAGAACUGGGCACAGUAUGAGCCUGCCAUAGGGACCCACCUAACUGCUUAGGGAACCCUCCCUCCAACUCUGAGCUCUUUCACAGCGAUGCUUCGGGGGCCACAGCCAGUACCCUCUUCAGAUGCUGAAAUCCAUUUCCAUACAAAAGUGGCAAGGUAGAUUGUCCUGCCUGACCCCGUGGCUGCCUGGGACUGGACAGACAGGAGCCUUGAUGGCCUGCUGGGUGGGAGGUGACACUGUGGUACCAGAGAGGGUCUGCUUACCUGCAAGCUGUGGGCCCACCUGUCACUCGAUCCCCUAGGAGAGGAGCCCAGGAGAGGCAAUGCCGGGUCCCAGCAGGCCCAGGUGUCAGAAGGCUGCCCCUGCUCCCCAUUCCCUCCCCCUGCCCCACCUCUGCCCCUGUUCCCGAGGGCUGUCACGGUGAUGCUCCGACUGAGGGGAGACUGGGGCCACCUCGUUGCACCCUCCUCACCACCCAAGAGGGAAGGCAUUCUUGAUGACCCCAUCUGGGAGAUGAGGAAUUCCACCCCAGAGAGGCGGAGUGGCCCAUGCAAGGUCUCACAACUAAUAAAGGCGAAGGUGGGGCUGUGACUCGCGGUAUAUUGUAACACCCAGCACAAAGGUGCUGAUCUGGGGGGAGCUCUCUAUCCCCCCCAAUAGGUAAUCCAGCUAUAAAUCUUCCUCCUUGAUGUUCGACCCCAAGCAAGGCCAGAGGUGACCCCACCUGCCACAGACCCAGAGCCCCACACAGCUGACCAGGGGAGGCCCACAGCACCC